GACGAACGCUGUUUGCGUGCUUAACACAUGCAAGUCGAACGGAAAGGCCCUGCUUUUGUGGGGUGCUCGAGUGGCGAACGGGUGAGUAACACGUGAGUAACCUGCCCUUGACUUUGGGAUAACUUCAGGAAACUGGGGCUAAUACCGGAUAGGAGCUCCUGCUGCAUGGUGGGGGUUGGAAAGUUUCGGCGGUUGGGGAUGGACUCACGGCUUAUCAGCUUGUUGGUGGGGUAGUGGCUUACCAAGGCUUUGACGGGUAGCCGGCCUGAGAGGGUGACCGGCCACAUUGGGACUGAGAUACGGCCCAGACUCCUACGGGAGGCAGCAGUGGGGAAUAUUGCACAAUGGGCGGAAGCCUGAUGCAGCAACGCCGCGUGCGGGAUGACGGCCUUCGGGUUGUAAACCGCUUUCGCCUGUGACGAAGCGUGAGUGACGGUAAUGGGUAAAGAAGCACCGGCUAACUACGUGCCAGCAGCCGCGGUGAUACGUAGGGUGCGAGCGUUGUCCGGAUUUAUUGAGCGUAAAGGGCUCGUAGGUGGUUGAUCGCGUCGGAAGUGUAAUCUUGGGGCUUAACCCUGAGCGUGCUUUCGAUACGGGUUGACUUGAGGAAGGUAGGGGAGAAUGGAAUUCCUGGUGGAGCGGUGGAAUGCGCAGAUAUCAGGAGGAACACCAGUGGCGAAGGCGGUUCUCUGGGCCUUUCCUGACGCUGAGGAGCGAAAGCGUGGGGAGCGAACAGGCUUAGAUACCCUGGUAGUCCACGCUGUAAACGGUGGGUACUAGGUGUGGGGUCCAUUCCACGGGUUCCGUGCCGUAGCUAACGCUUUAAGUACCCCGCCUGGGGAGUACGGCCGCAAGGCUAAAACUCAAAGGAAUUGACGGGGCCCCGCACAAGCGGCGGAGCAUGCGGAUUAAUUCGAUGCAACGCGUGGAACCUUACCUGGGUUUGACAUGGAUCGGGAGUGCUCAGAGAUGGGUGUGCCUCUUUUGGGGUCGGUUCACAGGUGGUGCAUGGCUGUCGUCAGCUCGUGUCGUGAGAUGUUGGGUUAAGUCCCGCAACGAGCGCAACCCUUGUUCACUGUUGCCAGCACGUUAUGGUGGGGACUCAGUGGAGACCGCCGGGGUCAACUCGGAGGAAGGUGGGGAUGACGUCAAGUCAUCAUGCCCCUUAUGUCCAGGGCUUCACGCAUGCUACAAUGGCUGGUACAGAGAGUGGCGAGCCUGUGAGGGUGAGCGAAUCUCGGAAAGCCGGUCUCAGUUCGGAUUGGGGUCUGCAACUCGACCUCAUGAAGUCGGAGUCGCUAGUAAUCGCAGAUCAGCAACGCUGCGGUGAAUACGUUCCCGGGGCU
This 1346-nucleotide ribosomal RNA is filed under the name uncultured bacterium. RNAcentral describes it as "partial 16S ribosomal RNA". It matches the Rfam family "Bacterial small subunit ribosomal RNA", at positions 28 to 1381 of the family's 1533-position model. The record is from RNAcentral.